AAGACACUCAUCUUCUUUUCCUAUUUCAUAGAUUGACACACAUCAAAACUAACUUCUUUCUCAUUGAGCCUAAAUUUUAGCUCAUUUUGUUCUAUGUCAACUAACACUCUCCAAGUUUCUAAGAACGGCCUACCCAAAAUUAUGGGUACUUCAAAGUCCACUUCACAACAAAGAAUUACAAAGUUGGCAGGAAAUAUAAAAUCGACCAUCUUUAUAAGUACAUCU
This 225-nucleotide long non-coding RNA is filed under the name Capsicum annuum. Its description in RNAcentral is "long non-coding RNA (CANN_LNC005191)". Lineage: Eukaryota; Viridiplantae; Streptophyta; Magnoliopsida; Solanales; Solanaceae. The record is from RNAcentral.